GUCGUAUAAAGAUGUAUUAGAUGCAAGACAAUCUAGCAUUUCCCUUUACGACAUUGUAAAAUAUUAGAAGUUCAAGCAAAAGUAAUUGUUGCAUGGUUAAUAAUCGAAACAAUUUGAGUUUGAACGGAAAAGGUUAACCAUAUGACCUUGUGUUGAAAAACACUAAAAAUGAUCUUAAAUAACAAUUUCUUAAUCUUUGUUAUUUUAAGUUAUGGUUUU
This 219-nucleotide non-coding RNA is filed under the name unclassified sequences. RNAcentral's name for it is "IS605-orfB-I RNA". It matches the Rfam family "IS605-orfB-I RNA". The record is from Rfam by way of RNAcentral.